GCCGGGUGCGGUGGCAUGUGCCUGUAAUCCAAGUCACUGGGAGGCUGAGGUUGGUGGAUCAAGUGAGCUGAGGAGCUCUGGGCUGCAGCACACUAUGUGGAACGGGUGUCCACGCUAAGUUCGGUAUCGAUAUGGUGUUCCUGGGGGAGCCCGGGACCACCAGGUUGUCUAAGGAGGGGUGAACCGGCCCAGGUCGGAAACGAAGCAGGUCAAAUCCCCCGUGCUGUCCAGUAGUGGGAUAAUACCUGUGAGUAGAUGCUGCAGUGCAGCCUUGGCGAAACAUCGAGACCUAAUCUUUC
Oncorhynchus kisutch (coho salmon) is the source of this 299-nucleotide unclassified non-coding RNA. It matches the Rfam family "Metazoan signal recognition particle RNA". Rfam says of the family: The signal recognition particle (SRP) is a universally conserved ribonucleoprotein. It is involved in the co-translational targeting of proteins to membranes. The record is from Ensembl. Lineage: Eukaryota; Metazoa; Chordata; Actinopteri; Salmoniformes; Salmonidae.